Molecule: long non-coding RNA, 262 nt
Filed under: Lathyrus oleraceus (garden pea)
Lineage: Eukaryota; Viridiplantae; Streptophyta; Magnoliopsida; Fabales; Fabaceae
Description: Pisum sativum (pea) long non-coding RNA (PSAT_LNC022354)
Source: RNAcentral
UAAGAUUCUAUAUUUGAAUUUAGAGUAAUUGGAUACAAGUUGAAAGAAAUAAACGUAGAAGUACUUGAAAGGAUAAAGGAAAUAAAGAAAAACUACAAAAGUAAAGCAAUUUGGUAAUGAAUACUUAAAAUUAAGAGUGAAACGCAAGUUCAUACAUUUCUCAUAAAAUCUUUAUCUUUGUGACUCGGAAGUGUAAAUUCUACAAGAAAUAAAAUGAAAUGUGAACCAUUUUUAAAAAACGAAGACUACUUAUAUACUAUGU